Non-coding RNA from Acanthosepion pharaonis, 103 nucleotides. Lineage: Eukaryota; Metazoa; Mollusca; Cephalopoda; Sepiida; Sepiidae. The record is from the annotation of a GenBank genome assembly.
UUACGGCCAUAUCAUGUUGAAACACCAGUUCUCGUACGAUCACUGAAGUUAAACAACGUCGAGUAUGGUUAAUAGCUAAAUAGGUGACCGCUUGGGAAUACCA